UUUUCGCCGAAGUACUGCUCGGACAGGAAGUCGUCUCUGAACAGCAGCUGGGAACACUGGACGUCCUCCGCCUCGGAGCCCACCUCGACGGCUGGAGAAAAAGGGAAACGAGGUGAUCAAAUGGGAUUACCUUCGCUUGACCUCCGCCAGGACAGCACCGUCGUGCCUCCAGGUGACCGUGUGCAUGCCCGAGAUGGCAGCGAACUGACACCACAGACUAAGACUUUGGGGGUCCUCACUCACGGAUGCUGCCUGGAUGGGUUGCGUGACCUUCGGCUCUCCCUCCUCGCACGCCAGGAUGAUCCAGGCGAUCGCCAGAGCCCACAUUGGUCUGUGUAACCCCUGGUAGAGCGCAUGCG
Molecule: long non-coding RNA, 359 nt
Organism: Hippocampus comes (tiger tail seahorse)
Lineage: Eukaryota; Metazoa; Chordata; Actinopteri; Syngnathiformes; Syngnathidae
Exons: 3
Source: RefSeq, a predicted model, not a curated record